AGAGUUUGAUCUGGCUCAGGACGAACGCUGGCGGUGCGCCUUAUGCAUGCAAGUCGAGCGAAGCUUUUCAGUAGUUUACUACAGAAAAUGACUGAGCGGCGAACGGGUGAGUAACGCGUGAGCAACCUACCUUAGUUACUGGGAUAGCCCGAGGAAACUCGGAUUAAUACCGGAUAUUCUUAUUUAAUCACAUGAUUUUUUAAGGAAAGGUCAGCCGAACUAAGAUGGGCUCGCGUUCUAUCAGCUAGUUGGUAGGGUAAUGGCCUACCAAGGCUACGACGGAUAGCUGGUCUGAGAGGACGAUCAGCCACACUGGGACUGAGACACGGCCCAGACUCCUACGGGAGGCUGCAGCAGGGAAUAUUGCGCAAUGAGCGAAAGCUUGACGCAGCGACACCGCGUGUGGGAUGACGGAUCUAGGUUUGUAAACCACUUUCAGGAGGGAAGAAAAUGACGGUACCUCCACAAGAAGCCCCGGCCAACUACGUGCCAGCAGCCGCGGUAAUACGUAGGGGGCGAGCGUUGUCCGGAUUUAUUGGGCGUAAAGAGCUCGUAGGCGGUUCAACAAGUCGGUCGUGAAAGUUCAGGGCUCAACCCUGAAAUGUCGAUCGAUACUGUUGUGACUAGGAUACGGUAGAGGUGAGUGGAAUUCCGAGUGUAGCGGUGAAAUGCGUAGAUAUUCGGAGGAACACCAAUUGCGAAGGCAGCUCACUGGGCCGCUAUCGACGCUGAGGAGCGAAAGCUAGGGGAGCAAACAGGAUUAGAUACCCUGGUAGUCCUAGCUGUAAACGAUGGAUACUAGACGUAGGA
RNAcentral lists this ribosomal RNA (810 nucleotides) under uncultured marine microorganism. RNAcentral describes it as "bacterial SSU rRNA". It matches the Rfam family "Bacterial small subunit ribosomal RNA", at positions 8 to 827 of the family's 1533-position model. The record is from RNAcentral.